AGAGUUUGAUCAUGGCUCAGAACGAACGUUGGCGGCGUGGAUUAGGCAUGCAAGUCGAACGGGAAAGUGCCUUCGGGCAUGAGUAGAGUGGCGAACGGGUGAGUAACGCGUGGGAAACCUGCCUUCGAGCGGGGGAUAACACCUCUAACGGGGUGCUAAUACCGCAUAACACCAUCGGGUCGCAUGGCACGAUGGUCAAAGCUGGCCUCUGUUUCAAGCUAGCACUCGAAGAUGGUCCCGCGUCUGAUUAGCUUGUUGGUGGGGUAACGGCCUACCAAGGCGACGAUCGGUAGCUGGUCUGAGAGGAUGGUCAGCCACACUGGGACUGAGAUACGGCCCAGACUCCUACGGGAGGCAGCAGUCGAGAGGCUUCGGCAAUGGGGGCAACCCUGACCGAGCGACGCCGCGUGAGGGAUGACGCCCUUCGGGGUGUAAACCUCUUUUCUGGGGGAAGAAAAACACCGGGACGAAUACGCCCGGUGCCUGACGGUACCCCAGAAUAG
This 503-nucleotide ribosomal RNA is filed under the name uncultured Dictyoglomus sp. RNAcentral describes it as "bacterial SSU rRNA". It matches the Rfam family "Bacterial small subunit ribosomal RNA", at positions 8 to 488 of the family's 1533-position model. The record is from RNAcentral. Lineage: Bacteria; Pseudomonadati; Dictyoglomota; Dictyoglomia; Dictyoglomales; Dictyoglomaceae.